This is a non-coding RNA of Camellia sinensis, 176 nucleotides long. The record is from RefSeq and is a predicted model, not a curated record. NCBI's taxonomy places the organism in Eukaryota, Viridiplantae, Streptophyta, Magnoliopsida, Ericales, Theaceae.
UCAAAGAUAAGUUUCUAUAUUGCAGAUAAAAAUUGGAGACCGAAUAGAGACAGUUCGCUUCUUCCACUGCUACAAACGUGGAGUUGAUCGUGUUUUUGUAGAUCACCCAAUGUUCCUGGAAAAGGUUUGGGGUAAAACUGGAUCUAAGAUCUAUGGGCCUAAGACGGGAGGAUUAC